CGAACGCUGGCGGCAGGCUUAACACAUGCAAGUCGAGCGAGAUCUUCGGAUCUAGCGGCGGACGGGUGAGUAACGCGUGGGAACGUGCCCUUUGCUACGGAAUAGUCCCGGGAAACUGGGUUUAAUACCGUAUACGCCCUUCGGGGGAAAGAUUUAUCGGCAAAGGAUCGGCCCGCGUUGGAUUAGGUAGUUGGUGGGGUAAUGGCCUACCAAGCCGACGAUCCAUAGCUGGUUUGAGAGGAUGAUCAGCCACACUGGGACUGAGACACGGCCCAGACUCCUACGGGAGGCAGCAGUGGGGAAUCUUAGACAAUGGGGGCAACCCUGAUCUAGCCAUGCCGCGUGAGUGAUGAAGGCCUUAGGGUUGUAAAGCUCUUUCAGCUGGGAAGAUAAUGAC
RNAcentral lists this ribosomal RNA (397 nucleotides) under Paracoccus sp. oral taxon H67. RNAcentral describes it as "bacterial SSU rRNA". It matches the Rfam family "Bacterial small subunit ribosomal RNA", at positions 30 to 455 of the family's 1533-position model. Lineage: Bacteria; Pseudomonadati; Pseudomonadota; Alphaproteobacteria; Rhodobacterales; Paracoccaceae. The record is from RNAcentral.